CCUACGGGAGGCAGCAGUGGGGAAUAUUGCACAAUGGGGGAAACCCUGAUGCAGCGACGCCGCGUGAAUGAAGAAGUAUUUCGGUAUGUAAACCUCUAUCAGCAGGGAAGAAAAUGACGGUACCUGACUAAGAAGCCCCGGCUAACUAGGUGCCAGCAGCCGCGGUAAUACGUAGGGGGCAAGCGUUAUCCGGAUUUACUGGGUGUAAAGGGAGCGUAGGCGGUUUAGCAAGUCAGAAGUGAAAGCCCAGGGCUCAACUCCGGGACUGCUUUGGAAACUGGGGAACUAGAGUGCAGGAGAGGUAAGUGGAAUUCCUAGUGUAGCGGUGAAAUGCGUAGAUAUUAGGAGGAACACCAGUGGCGAAGGCGGCUUACUGGACUGUAAAUGACGCUGAGGCUCGAAAGCGUGGGGAGCAAACAGGAUUAGAUACCCUUGUAGUC
RNAcentral lists this ribosomal RNA (440 nucleotides) under uncultured bacterium. RNAcentral's name for it is "partial 16S ribosomal RNA". It matches the Rfam family "Bacterial small subunit ribosomal RNA", at positions 338 to 795 of the family's 1533-position model. The record is from RNAcentral.